CCACACCGACCACAUAAUCAUCAACGCAUUCCAGACAAAUCUCAACGAAAUGGAUCGAAAGAUUGUUUUUGCUCUUCUUCUCUUGAUGUCGGUUCAAGUCUCCAUGGCCUUCCAUUGGAACGAACGCAAAGGUGCCGAGCCACAGUUUCCUCCUGAGAUGGGCGAUGAAAUUGCCGCCGACGCUGAACGCCUAAUGCGAAAAGCUGCAAAGGAUCAUUGGAGCAACAAAAUGGCAAAAGAUGUAAUCUGGUGGGAGCAAUAAAAAUCAACCACUAGUGAACUUGUCAUUUGACCAAAUGUUGACCCAAUAAACAGAAAUAAAAUGUG
This is a long non-coding RNA of Ciona intestinalis (vase tunicate), 327 nucleotides long. RefSeq lists it as uncharacterized. Lineage: Eukaryota; Metazoa; Chordata; Ascidiacea; Phlebobranchia; Cionidae. The record is from RefSeq and is a predicted model, not a curated record.